GCCUAUUUAGCUCAGUUGGUAGAGCAUGGUGUUUGCAACGCCAGGGUUGUGGGUUUGAUUCCCACGGGGGGCC
RNAcentral lists this transfer RNA (73 nucleotides) under Salmo salar (Atlantic salmon). It matches the Rfam family "tRNA". From Rfam's summary of the family: Transfer RNA (tRNA) molecules are approximately 80 nucleotides in length. Their secondary structure includes four short double-helical elements and three loops (D, anti-codon, and T loops). Lineage: Eukaryota; Metazoa; Chordata; Actinopteri; Salmoniformes; Salmonidae. The record is from Rfam by way of RNAcentral.